CAGGAUGGACCCGCGUCUGAUUAGCUAGUUGGUAAGGUAACGGCUUACCAAGGCGACGAUCAGUAGCCGACCUGAGAGGGUGAUCGGCCACAUUGGAACUGAGACACGGUCCAAACUCCUACGGGAGGCAGCAGUGGGGAAUAUUGCACAAUGGGCGAAAGCCUGAUGCAGCAACGCCGCGUGAGUGAUGAAGGCCUUCGGGUCGUAAAACUCUGUCCUCAAGGAAGAUAAUGACGGUACUUGAGGAGGAAGCCCCGGCUAACUACGUGCCAGCAGCCGCGGUAAUACGUAGGGGGCUAGCGUUAUCCGGAUUUACUGGGCGUAAAGGGUGCGUAGGCGGUCUUUCAAGUCAGGAGUGAAAGGCUACGGCUCAACCGUAGUAAGCUCUUGAAACUGGGAGACUUGAGUGCAGGAGAGGAGAGUGGAAUUCCUAGUGUAGCGGUGAAAUGCGUAGAUAUUAGGAGGAACACCAGUUGCGAAGGCGGCUCUCUGGACUGUAACUGACGCUGAGGCACGAAAGCGUGGGGAGCAAACAGGAUUAGAUACCCUGGUAGUCCACGCUGUAAACGAUGAGU
Molecule: ribosomal RNA, 575 nt
Filed under: Clostridioides difficile
Lineage: Bacteria; Bacillati; Bacillota; Clostridia; Peptostreptococcales; Peptostreptococcaceae
Description: bacterial SSU rRNA
Rfam family: Bacterial small subunit ribosomal RNA
Source: RNAcentral